This 464-nucleotide ribosomal RNA is filed under the name uncultured bacterium. Its description in RNAcentral is "partial 16S ribosomal RNA". It matches the Rfam family "Bacterial small subunit ribosomal RNA", at positions 338 to 795 of the family's 1533-position model. The record is from RNAcentral.
CCUACGGGUGGCAGCAGUGAGGAAUAUUGGUCAAUGGCCGAGAGGCUGAACCAGCCAAGUCGCGUGAGGGAAGACGGCCCUACGGGUUGUAAAGAUCUGUUGACAGGGACGAAUAAGCAAUGCGAAUAGUUUUGUGUAUGACGGUACCUGUUUAGAAAGCUCCGGCUAACUACGUGCCAGCAGCCGCGGUAAUACGUAGGGAGCAAGCGUUGUCCGGAAUUACUGGGCGUAAGGGGCGCGUAGGUGGGCGCUUAAGUCAGGUGUGAAAACUCCGGGCUCAACCUGGAGACUGCACUUGAAACUGGGUGUCUUGAGGGCAGGAGAGGAAAGUGGAAUUCCUAGUGUAGCGGUGAAAUGCGUAGAUAUUAGGAGGAACACCAGUGGCGAAGGCGACUUUCUGGACUGUACCUGACGCUGAGGCGCGAAAGCGUGGGUAGCGAACGGGAUUAGAUACCCUUGUAGUC